GAGCUCGGCUGCCCGCGCCAUCGCAAAGCUGUUCAUCAGUCUCUCCUCCCUCGCCAUUCAGCUUGCUUCUCGAGAGCUGGACUCGCGACGAUGACAUCGAGGUACGUGAAACGAACGAGAUCAAGAUGCGCCUUCGGAUGAUAUCCGCCCUGGAGGGCUCAACCAGCGCCUUCCUGUUCCUCGGGUUCGAUAAACCCUAAGAUCUUCCUGUUCUUAGGGUUAACAUUUGGAAUCUUGAUCGAAUCUUGAAGGCUUUUGGUGCGAUUGUUUCAGCGUCUCUUGUUCUGUUCGAAAGAUUCGUCCCAAGAUUUACUUAGGGCUUGACGUUGUGUUGUUCAAUCCUGCAUCGUUCUUUCAGUUGGAGGUUCGCAGAUGUGUUGACCGUGGGCGAUCUCUUCCGGCGAGCUAUGCGCCACUGGCGUACGAACCUUGGACCACUGGAACUCGAGGCUGCGUUGAGGAUCCUCAAUACUUGAAGGUAAUGACCACCUGUUUUGCGGUAGAGAUACAAGCCAAAAAGUUUUUAGAAUGAUACAUAGUGACCUAUGCUAGUUGGCAAAAAUAUCAGCAUGGUCAUAUAAACAACAUACAGCACGGCUUCGCAUUUCACUGGAUGGGUCAGCAUUGGCACGUUUGCACAAACACGAUAGUCCUUCAAUGAAGGCUGAAGGAACAAAAAAGGAUGCCUAAUGUUGUUAUUUUAUUCCCUUAAUGCAAGAGGGGCUGUUCAGACUUCAUUAACCUGAUCUGAAUUUUGGCCACUGGGGCCACUACAUUGGCUCUGUUUUUUGCUCAUUCGUUGAUCGGUGGAAUGUUGUAGCUAUUGCCCCUGAAGAUCUGGCUAGCAAAUCUAAACUUAAAGAGAUGUAUAAAGUUCUUCAUCAAGCUUGUUAAUCAACCAAAAAAGAGGCAUGACGGCUCAUUGUAUGUGUUGUUUGUUUGAUCAGGCAAACCAAAGAUCAUUGAUUUUGUCUCUUAUGGCAAUUACAGUACAAGCACCAUAAAUAUGUCUGACCAAUUUAUAAGUCAUUUAAAGUUUAAAUUGCUUUGAAGACACACCAUAUAGUGUCAGUUCACUCCCCUUUAUCUUGUACUUUGAUGAUUAUGUAAAGGAUAUCAUGUGAUUUGGGAACAUCAAAUUUAUGAACAUGAUUUUACUUCAUCAGUGGUGACAUGUUUGUGUGGUUAUGACUUGUGAUUCUACACUUAUCUCAGAUUGUACAUCUGCAAAUUGCAACCUGUUCACUAUUAGAUUACUGACAGAUUGACAGAAAAGCACAGAGUUCAAAGAGAUGCUGAAAUUGGAUGGUUUGGAAUGUCCUGCUAUCAAUGGAAAAUUGGGAACGAGAAGGAUGAGAGUGGAGCUCUUAAAAUUUGAGAGAACAACAUGCAAAUAUGUAACUACGUGUACAUUCCCCAGUUAUGGAAGAUACAAGUAUCACUAUUUGGACAUUAUGCCUUCGAAGGACCAUCAACUUCCACAGGCAUAAAAUCUAGUACGUCCAACUCAAGCAGAGACUUUGGCUGUCCUGUGGCAGAACAGCACAUGUAUGGCCAGUGUUGCUGCACGAGGUGCUCAAAACAUCCACUCCGAAGUGAUGCCUAAGUUGGCGAAUCUCCUGUAUAUCGAAGCAACAAGGUGUAGCAGAUCCACUCCGACCUCUAAAGCCUUACGUCCCCAGUGGGCGGUGGGAGGAGCCGGGAAGGGAGGUUCGGCCACCAUAAAGAAAAGCAAAGCAGGCAAAACCAAGUGCUGGCAAAAGGGUCGCCAUCUGAACUAGCGUGGCAAGAAAAAAGUGUGGUGGUAUCGGAGAUUCUAGGAGAUAAGAAGACAUCUGACAAAGGAAGAAAUAGAAAGGGUCCUCCUUUCGUCACCUUCGCUCUCCAUGCUUUAGUAAUUCUGUCUUUCUUGCCUCUCCAGCUUGUCGAUCAAUACAAGAUUUCUUCCUAGAAUUGUUCUGUUGCUGGUUCUGUUGUAGAAAUGUUGUUGACUCGGUUACCAAGUUGUGGAAGGAGUGACGGAGGUAUGGUUCAUCUUUAUUCCCUCCGCUUUACAUA
Musa acuminata AAA Group (dessert banana) is the source of this 2058-nucleotide long non-coding RNA. RefSeq lists it as uncharacterized. NCBI's taxonomy places the organism in Eukaryota, Viridiplantae, Streptophyta, Magnoliopsida, Zingiberales, Musaceae. The record is from RefSeq and is a predicted model, not a curated record. The transcript has 5 exons.